Molecule: ribosomal RNA, 161 nt
Filed under: Megacaryon orientale
Lineage: Eukaryota; Viridiplantae; Streptophyta; Magnoliopsida; Boraginales; Boraginaceae
Description: 5.8S ribosomal RNA
Rfam family: 5.8S ribosomal RNA
About the family: 5.8S ribosomal RNA (5.8S rRNA) is a component of the large subunit of the eukaryotic ribosome. It is transcribed by RNA polymerase I as part of the 45S precursor that also contains 18S and 28S rRNA. Functionally, it is thought that 5.8S rRNA may be involved in ribosome translocation.
Source: RNAcentral
CCACAACGACUCUCGGCAACGGAUAUCUCGGCUCUCGCAUCGAUGAAAGAGCAGCGAAAUGCGAUACUUGGUGUGAAUUGCAGAAUCCCGUGAACCAUCGAGUCUUGAACGCAAGUUGCGCCUGAAGCCAUUAGGCCGAAGGCACGUCUGCCUGGGCGUCA